GACGAACGCUGGCGGCGUGCUUAACACAUGCAAGUCGAACGGAAAGGCCCUGCUUUUGUGGGGUGCUCGAGUGGCGAACGGGUGAGUAACACGUGAGUAACCUGCCCUUGACUUUGGGAUAACUUCAGGAAACUGGGGCUAAUACCGGAUAGGAGCUCCUGCUGCAUGGUGGGUGUUGGAAAGUUUCGGCGGUUGGGGAUGGGCUCGCGGCUUAUCGGCGUGUUGGUGGGGUAGUGGCUUACCAAGGCUUUGACGGGUAGCCGGCCUGAGAGGGUGACCGGCCACAUUGGGACUGAGAUACGGCCCAGACUCCUACGGGAGGCAGCUGUGGGGAAUAUUGCACAAUGGGCGGAAGCCUGAUGCAGAAACGCCGCGUGCGGGAGGACGGCCUUCGGGUUGUAAACCGCUUUCGCCUGUGACGAAGCGUGAGUGACGGUAAUGGGUAAAGAAGCACCGGCUAACUACGUG
Molecule: ribosomal RNA, 468 nt
Filed under: uncultured bacterium
Lineage: Bacteria
Description: partial 16S ribosomal RNA
Rfam family: Bacterial small subunit ribosomal RNA
Source: RNAcentral